AUGUUAGGAGAAAACAUCAACUUUCUUUGCUGGAAUGUAAGGGGCCUAAACUGUGUCAAUCGGCGUUCCACCGUCCAUGAGACCAUUGAGGCAACAACCUGUGAUGUAGCCUGCCUACAGGAGACCAAACUUGAUCAUAUGGACCAAUUCAUUGCCUCUUACCUGGGUGGUAAUAGGCUCCGCAGCUUUGCUCAUCGGCCAGCUACUGGCACUAGGGGUGGCAUACUGAUGUUAUGGGACGACAAUGCGGUCCAGAUUUCGGACGUGGUCAGCACCGUCUACUGUCUCUCGGCCAUGGUUCUCAUACGUGCAACUGGGAAUAUGUUCAAGAUCACUACGGUGUAUGGCCCAACUGAACCUUCUUGCAAAGACGCAUUCUUUGCGGAACUGCUCGCCCAAAAGCCAGCGCCCGGGAUCAAAUGGCUCGCGUUGGGCGACUUCAAUCAAAUCUAUCGCGCUAGGGACAAAAAUAAGCGAUCAAUCAAUCGCUCACGCAUCAACCGUUUUCGCAAUGCCCUUCAUGCUUGUGAGCUCAACGAAAUACAUCUUCAGAACCGCAAGUUCACUUGGAGCAAUGAAAGGGAUAACCCGACUCUGUGCAAGUUAGAUGCAUUUUUUUGCAACGUCGACUGAGACACUUCCUUCAGCACUCAUGUGCUGCAUGCCCUCUCCUCAUCGCUGUCCGACCAUUGUCCCCUUCUUCUUGCGGAUGAUAGUGGGCCCCGUAGGCCUCGAACCUUCAAAUUCGAGAAUUUUUGGACGUCCAUGCCGGGAUUUAAUGAGGUGGUGCUUAACGCUUGGAAUGAAGAUUGCCAUCAUUUAGAGCCUUAUCAGAGGCUUUUUCACAAGCUCAAGAAGACAGGGCUAAGACUCACUGAAUGGAGUAGGAAAUUAUUCUCCAGCUCUAAGCUGCACCUCCAUGCCGCUCUGCUCACGAUCCUUCGGCUGGACACUGCUCAGGAGGGGUGUGCGCUCUCCAUCCCUGAGCAAGAUCUGCGGACCAAGCUCAAACGGAGGGUCGUGAGUUUGGCGGUAUUAGAGAGAGCAAGGAAGAAGCAAUGUGCGAGAAUUUUCAAUCUGAGAGAGGGUGGCGCC
Molecule: ribosomal RNA, 1095 nt
Filed under: Triticum aestivum (bread wheat)
Lineage: Eukaryota; Viridiplantae; Streptophyta; Magnoliopsida; Poales; Poaceae
Description: partial small subunit ribosomal RNA
Source: RNAcentral